Molecule: ribosomal RNA, 201 nt
Filed under: uncultured bacterium
Lineage: Bacteria
Description: partial 16S ribosomal RNA
Rfam family: Bacterial small subunit ribosomal RNA
Source: RNAcentral
CCGAUGGAGGGGGGUAACUACUGAAACGGUAGCUAAUACCGCAUAACGUCGCAAGACCAAAGAGGGGGACCUCCGGGCCUCGCGCCAUCAGAUGAACCCAUAUGGGAUUAGCUUGUAGGUAAGGUAACGGCUUACCUAGGCGACGAUCCCUAGCUGGUCUGAGAGGAUGAUCAGCCACACUGGGACUGAGACACGGCCCAG